RNAcentral lists this ribosomal RNA (138 nucleotides) under Melosira nummuloides. Its description in RNAcentral is "partial ribosomal RNA large subunit". It matches the Rfam family "Eukaryotic large subunit ribosomal RNA", at positions 1793 to 1930 of the family's 3401-position model. The record is from RNAcentral. Lineage: Eukaryota; Bacillariophyta; Melosirophyceae; Melosirales; Melosiraceae.
CUCUUGUCGGCCCCUGAAACGCCGAUCGCGUGACUUAUUCGCACCCCUGGUCGUACCAAUAACCGCAUCAGGUYUCCAAGGUUAGCNGCCUCUGGUCAAUAGAAGAAUGUAGGUAAGGGANGUCGGCAAAAUNGAUCC